This 265-nucleotide unclassified non-coding RNA is filed under the name uncultured fungus. Its description in RNAcentral is "sequence contains 5.8S rRNA gene". The record is from RNAcentral. Lineage: Eukaryota; Fungi.
GAACGCAUAUUGCGCCCUUUGGCAUUCCGAAGGGCAUACCUGUUCGAGCGUCAUUAUCAACCAUCAAGCCUAGCUUGUCGUUGGACUUUCUUUUACGACUGAAAUAUACCGUAGGUCCGAAAGAUAAUGACGGUGUCGUGUUUGACCCUUAAAUGCAACGAGCUUUUAUUAGCACGCAUUGCAAGUGGUCGAUCGACCCGGUCUUAAACCCAUUAAUUUUCUAAGGUUGACCUCGGAUCAGGUAGGAAUACCCGCUGAACUUAAG